Molecule: ribosomal RNA, 525 nt
Filed under: Triticum aestivum (bread wheat)
Lineage: Eukaryota; Viridiplantae; Streptophyta; Magnoliopsida; Poales; Poaceae
Description: partial small subunit ribosomal RNA
Source: RNAcentral
AUGUUUUUGUCUUUUUGUUGUGCUGCUUCAGUUUGCUUACUCCGAAAACAUAUCCGUCUGAUGAUUCUCCUGCUUUGUGCCAGCUUGUGUUCCUUUUUUAUUUAUUUGAUGUGUAGGAUGGUGUGCACAAUCUGCCAUUCGCAUUGUGAGAGUGACAAUGAGCAGACUUUUCGCAUUGUCAUCCGUGAUGACUACGAAGCUUUAGCGAACAUCCCAUGCACUGAAAGGAAUAUGUUUAACCAGAUGUCUGGGUUGAACUAUAAGGCGGACGACCGUAGGUAUGUUUUUGAUGUGUACAGGGGACACGAAGCCACACUGAUUGGAGGUGAUGAUUGGACCAAGUUCAAGCGCGACUUCGACGUGGGGCAGGGCAAUGUAGUUGUUUUUGACAUGACUGGUGAACAGCAAAGGUAUAUGUGGCUGGAGUUGAGGCUGAAGAAGAGGGAGGAGCUGCUGAAGAAGUUGUUACAGUUGAUGAAGAGGAAGAGGUUGUCAAUGAUGAUCACGGGCUUGAAGAUGCACUAG